Molecule: non-coding RNA, 26 nt
Filed under: Mus musculus (house mouse)
Lineage: Eukaryota; Metazoa; Chordata; Mammalia; Rodentia; Muridae
Source: RNAcentral
ACCAGCAAGAAAGACACGACCACCGG